Molecule: transfer RNA, 23 nt
Filed under: Trichosurus vulpecula (common brushtail)
Lineage: Eukaryota; Metazoa; Chordata; Mammalia; Diprotodontia; Phalangeridae
Description: partial tRNA-Ser
Source: RNAcentral
CGAGAAAGUUCCAAGAACUGCUA